RNAcentral lists this microRNA precursor (86 nucleotides) under Ovis aries (sheep). RNAcentral describes it as "miRNA (ENSOARG00000023676.1)". The record is from RNAcentral. Lineage: Eukaryota; Metazoa; Chordata; Mammalia; Artiodactyla; Bovidae.
UAUUGGGUUGGCCAAAAAGCUCUUUCAGGUUUUUCUGUACCAUCUUAGGGGAAACUUGAAUGAACUUUUUGGCCAACCCAAUAUAU